CUUAGCAUAUCAAUAAGCGGAGGAAAAGAAACCAACAGGGAUUGCCCUAGUAACGGCGAGUGAAGCGGCAACAGCUCAAAUUUGAAAUCUGGCUCUUUUAGGGUCCGAGUUGUAAUUUGCAGAGGGCGCUUUGGCGUUGGCAGCGGUCCAAGUUCUUUGGAACAGGACGUCACAGAGGGUGAGAAUCCCGUACGUGGUCGCUAUCCUUCGCCGUGUAAAGCCCCUUCGACGAGUCGAGUUGUUUGGGAAUGCAGCUCUAAAUGGGAGGUAAAUUUCUUCUAAAGCUAAAUACUGGCCAGAGACCGAUAGCGCACAAGUAGAGUGAUCGAAAGAUGAAAAGCACUUUGGAAAGAGAGUCAAAUAGCACGUGAAAUUGUUGAAAGGGAAGCGCUUGCAGCCAGACUUGCCUGUAGUUGCUUAUCUAGACUUUUGUCUAGUGCACUCUUCUGCGGGCAGGCCAGCAUCAGUUUGGGCGGUUAGAUAAAGGUCUCUGUCAUGUACCUCUCUUCGGGGAGGCCUUAUAGGGGAGACGACAUGUAACCAGCCUGGACUGAGGUCCGCGCAUCUGCUAGGAUGCUGGCGUAAUGGCUGUAAGCGGCCCGUCUUGAAACACGGACCAAGGAGUCUAACAUCUAUGCGAGUGUUUGGGUGUCAAGCCCAGACGCGUAAUGAAAGUGAACGGAGGUAGGAACCCUUUGGGUGCACUAUCGACCGAUCCUGAUGUCUUCGGAAGGAUUUGAGUAAGAGCAUGGCUGUUGGGACCCGAAAGAUGGUGAACUAUGCUUGAAUAGGGUGAAGCCAGAGGAAACUCUGGUGGAGGCUCGCAGCGGUUCUGACGUGCAAAUCGAUCGUCAAAUUUGGGCAUAGGGGCGAAAGACUAAUCGACUUCAAGGG
This 894-nucleotide ribosomal RNA is filed under the name Ophiosimulans tanaceti. RNAcentral's name for it is "eukaryotic LSU rRNA". It matches the Rfam family "Eukaryotic large subunit ribosomal RNA", at positions 33 to 949 of the family's 3401-position model. Lineage: Eukaryota; Fungi; Ascomycota; Dothideomycetes; Pleosporales; Phaeosphaeriaceae. The record is from RNAcentral.